This is a long non-coding RNA of Solanum pennellii, 1418 nucleotides long. RefSeq lists it as uncharacterized. The record is from RefSeq and is a predicted model, not a curated record. The transcript has 2 exons. Lineage: Eukaryota; Viridiplantae; Streptophyta; Magnoliopsida; Solanales; Solanaceae.
UUAAUUCAUAAUUGUCAUAAAAUAUUUAUUUUUAGCGACAAUUAACACUCAUUGUGUAUGUCCCUAAAGCCUUUAACGACAUUGAUCUAAUGAUACUUAGCUAAUACCGAUGAAGACUUUAGACUCUUUAUAAAUAUCAAUAUUUAAUGCCACUAAAGGUCAUUUUUAUUGUAGUGAUCCCUAUAAAAAAAAUUCUAGACUAUAAUAUGUUAACUAUUGCUUUUCUUGACGAUGCCGUGAAGACUUGGCAAAAUACCAAUUAUGUAAGUGAAUAAUAAUACAUUUGAAAAACACAAUCAAAGGUUUUCAAGUAAUUGACAGCAUGAAGAAGAACAGUUUCUUAUUGAUUCUUCUCUUUAUAAUUAAAUUUUAUACAUCACUUGCUUCCUCAAAUGAGACAGACUAACAAGUUCUACCAGAUUUUUAAAAUCUUGUGACAAGUCCCAGUCAUUUAUUUGCCAAUAAUUGGACCAAAAAUACUUGUUUUUGCUCUUGGUUUGGUGUCACUUGCAUUUCAAAAAGGCAAAGGGUUUUGGCCUUGGCUAUUUCUAAUUUGCAAUUUCAAGACACAAUUUCCCCGUCUUUGGCCAAUUUGUCCUUUCUCAGAGAGCUCAAUCUUGGGAACAACUUAUUCCGCAAUGAAAUUCCUGAUAUUCAAAAUAAUCAACUCCAAGGAAGUACUCCGACAAGCCUAUUUUAGCACCAGACAGUUUGAAAGAUUUCAUUGGCUUUCAAUAAACUCAACGGUGAAAUGUGGAAAGGUCCAUGUCUAAGGAUGUGGAAAAGGUAUUAGAGAUCAAGACUCAUUAAUUAGAUUCUUAUCACGAGAUUCAACGAGCAACAAAUAACUUUGAUAGAUCAAAUUUAAUUGGCGAGUGAAGCUCUGGAUCUGUAUACAAAGGCACAUUAUCCAGUGGAACUCUGGUGGCAAUAAAGGUUCUGAAUUUGGAAAAUGAGCAAUUAUGCAAGAGGUUUGAUGCCGAAUGCGAAGUCAUGAGAAAUAUUAGACACAGAAAUCUUGUCACUAUGAUUACUACUUGUUCUAGGGACUAUAGAACAGCCUUUGUUCUUAAAUAUAUGUCUAAUGGGAGCCUACUCCAAAGAAUUACUAUAAUGCUUGAUGUGGAUGUGGCUGUCGAAUAUCUACACCAUGGUCAUAACACUCCAAUAGUUUAUUGCGGCCUAAAGCUAGCCAAAGUUCUUUUAUAUGAAGAUUUGGUGGGUCAUGUCGGUGAUUUUUGAAUCUCUUAAAUUUUCGUCGUAAGCAAGUCCAAGGCACAUACAGAGACAUUGAGCACUCUUGGAUAUACUGUACCAGCUAAACGAGUAUCUUUCUAUUUUUAGAAAUCACAGUCUAGCGCUUCCGAAUACUAGAACUAAACAAAAGUAAUUGUCUUGUUAAUACAUAAUUAUUCUUA